GGUAAGGUGGCUGAGUUUCAAGCGGUGGAUUGUAGCCCCAUAGACAGAGGUUAAAGUCCUCUUCUUACCA
RNAcentral lists this transfer RNA (70 nucleotides) under Chrysochir aurea (Reeve's croaker). RNAcentral's name for it is "tRNA-Tyr". It matches the Rfam family "tRNA". From Rfam's summary of the family: Transfer RNA (tRNA) molecules are approximately 80 nucleotides in length. Their secondary structure includes four short double-helical elements and three loops (D, anti-codon, and T loops). The record is from RNAcentral. Lineage: Eukaryota; Metazoa; Chordata; Actinopteri; Sciaenidae.